Molecule: ribosomal RNA, 67 nt
Filed under: Cerioporus squamosus
Lineage: Eukaryota; Fungi; Basidiomycota; Agaricomycetes; Polyporales; Polyporaceae
Description: partial 28S ribosomal RNA
Rfam family: Eukaryotic large subunit ribosomal RNA
Source: RNAcentral
CUGACCUCAAAUCAGGUGGGACUACCCGCUGAACUUAAGCAUAUCAAUAAGCGGAGGCAAACAGACA